RNAcentral lists this ribosomal RNA (354 nucleotides) under uncultured bacterium. RNAcentral describes it as "bacterial SSU rRNA". It matches the Rfam family "Bacterial small subunit ribosomal RNA", at positions 917 to 1271 of the family's 1533-position model. The record is from RNAcentral.
GGGCCCGCACAAGCAGUGGAGCAUGUGGUUUAAUUCGAUGCAACGCGAAGAACCUUACCAGGCCUUGACAUCCUCGGAACUUUCUAGAGAUAGAUUGGUGCCUUCGGGAACCGAGUGACAGGUGCUGCAUGGCUGUCGUCAGCUCGUGUCGUGAGAUGUUGGGUUAAGUCCCGUAACGAGCGCAACCCUUGUCCUUAGUUGCCAGCACGUAAUGGUGGGAACUCAUGGGAUACUGCCGGGGUCAACUCGGAGGAAGGUGGGGAUGACGUCAAAUCAUCACGGCCCUUACGUCCUGGGCCACACACGUGCUACAAUGGUAGGUACAGAGGGAAGCCACCCCGCGAGGGGAGCGGA